UAAUACGGAGGAUGCGAGCGUUAUCCGGAUUUAUUGGGUUUAAAGGGUGCGUAGGCUGUUAUAUAAGUCAGUGGUGAAAUAUUCGGGCUCAACCGGGAUACUGCCAUUGAUACUGUAUAGCUGGAAUAUGGUUGCUGUGGGUGGAAUGUGUGGUGUAGCGGUGAAAUGCAUAGAUAUCACACAGAAUAUCGAUUGCGAAGGCAACUCACAAAGCCAUUAUUGACGCUGAUGCACGAAAGUGUGGGGAUCAAACAGGAUUAGAUACCCUGGUAGUCCACACUGUAAACGAUGAUAACUAGCUGUCGGCGAUAGAUAGUCGGUGGCUAAGCGAAAGCGAUAAGUUAUCCACCUGGGGAGUACGACCGCAAGGUUGAAACUCAAAGGAAUUGACGGGGGCCCGCACAAGCGGAGGAACAUGUGGUUUAAUUCGAUGAUACGCGAGGAACCUUACCCGGGCUCGAACGGUGCAGGAAUAUGGUAGAGAUAUCAUAGCUAGCAAUAGUCUGUAUCGAGGUGCUGCAUGGUUGUCGUCAGCUCGUGCCGUGAGGUGUCGGCUUAAGUGCCAUAACGAGCGCAACCCUUGUCGUUAGUUACCAUCAAGUAAAGUUGGGGACUCUAGCGAGACUGCCACCGUAAGGUGUGAGGAAGGGGGGGAUGACGUCAAAUCAGCACGGCCCUUACGUCCGGGGCGACACACGUGUUACAAUGGUAGGUACAGAGGGGCGCUAUCCAGUGAUGGAGUGCGAAUCUCAAAAACCUAUCUCAGUUCGGAUUGGAGUCUGCAACUCGACUCCAUGAAGUUGGAUUCGCUAGUAAUCGCGCAUCAGCCAUGGCGCGGUGAAUACGUUCCCGGGCCUUGUACACACCGCCCGUCAAGNCAUGGNAGCCGGGGGUGCCUGA
Molecule: ribosomal RNA, 900 nt
Filed under: uncultured Geobacter sp.
Lineage: Bacteria; Pseudomonadati; Thermodesulfobacteriota; Desulfuromonadia; Geobacterales; Geobacteraceae
Description: bacterial SSU rRNA
Rfam family: Bacterial small subunit ribosomal RNA
Source: RNAcentral